This is a long non-coding RNA of Oncorhynchus keta (chum salmon), 455 nucleotides long. RefSeq lists it as uncharacterized. The transcript is spliced from 3 exons. Lineage: Eukaryota; Metazoa; Chordata; Actinopteri; Salmoniformes; Salmonidae. The record is from RefSeq and is a predicted model, not a curated record.
AACAAGCUCUUCUAUCACAGGUUAUAGACAACAGCCCUGGAGAGAGAGGAGAGAGAGAGGUUAACAAGCUCUUCUAUCACAGGUUAUAGACACAGCCCUGGAGAGAGAGGAGAGAGAGGUUAACAAGCUCUUCUAUCACAGGUUAUAGACACAGCCCUGGAGAGAGAGGAGAGAGAGAGGUUAACAAGCUCUUCUAUCACAGGUUAUAGACAACAGCCCUGGAGAGAGAGGAGAGAGAGGUUAACAAGCUCUUCUAUCACAGGUUAUAGACAACAGCCCUGGAGAGAGAGGAGAGAGAGGUUAACAAGCUCUUCUAUCACAGGUUAUAGACAACAGCCCUGGAGAGAGAGGAGAGAGAGAGGUUAACAAGCUCUUCUAUCACAGGUUAUAGACAACAGCCCUGGAGAGAGAGGUUAACAAGCUCUUCUAUCACAGGUUAUAGACAACAGCCCUGG